AAGCCAGACAAUUCAUCUAUUUAUGUCAAUGUUUUUUGCAGAAAUUUAGAAAAACCUGUCAAUAGUGAUGCUCUUUUACAAGCCUUAAUGGCAGUAGGUCAUUAUCGUCUCUGAAAAUGGCUAGAAUA
This is a small nucleolar RNA of Jaculus jaculus (lesser Egyptian jerboa), 128 nucleotides long. RefSeq annotates it as small nucleolar RNA SNORA33. NCBI's taxonomy places the organism in Eukaryota, Metazoa, Chordata, Mammalia, Rodentia, Dipodidae. The record is from RefSeq and is a predicted model, not a curated record. The transcript has a single exon.